AUGAGCGCAGGCAGCGCCGGGCUCCCCGCGGAAGGAAGGCAGCGAGUGGGGGCCCCGCGUCCUCGUCCUCGGCCGGGGCCUGGCAGCGCCGUGGAGGGUGCUCGGCUAGCGUUGCCGCCGGGAACGGGGCCGGGCGCGCGUCUCCGCCGGCGAAGGGGACACCCGGGAGCCGAAGGGGACGCCCGGGAGCCGCCGCUGCCGCCGCCGAGGGUACUGUCUGAUGAGCGUGAAAGGUUGUUUCACCGACUUCCACAUCGACUUUGGAGGCACUUCCGUUUGGUACCAUGUUUUCCGGGGUGGGAAGGUGAGUUUCAGUUGCCUUUAACUUUCUAUGCAUCUCCAGCUGUUUGUGUGGGGAGAGGCUCACUUACCUUUCCCCCUCCUCCCACCUCCCUCCUCCAGCCAGCCCUGCCCCAGGAGUAUUUUCAGGAUUAUUAUUUUUUUUUUUUUUGAGAUGAAGUCUUGCUCUGUUGCCCAGGCUGGAGUGCAGUGGUGCGAUCUUGGCUCACUGCAAGUUCCGCCUCCCAGGUUCACGCCAUUCUCCUGCCUCAGCCUCCUGAGUAGCUGAGGCUACAGGCGCCUGCCACCACGCCUGGCUAAUUUUUUGUAGUUUUAGUAGAGACGGGGUUUCACUGUGUUAGCUGGGAUGGUCUCCAUCUCCUGACCUCGUGAUCUGCCCGCCUUGGCCUCCCAAAGUGCUGGGAUUACAGGCGUGAGCCACCACGCCCAGCUUUAUUUUUAUUUUUUAUUUUUUUAUUUUUAAGAGAUAGGGCCUUGCUCUGUCACCCAGGGUGGAGUGCAGUGGUGCAAUCACAGCUCUCUGUAGCCUCCACCUCCUGGGCUCAAGUGAUCUUCCCACCCCAGCUCCCAAGUAGCUGGGACUAUAGGGAUACACCACCAGGCUCAACUAAUUUAUGUGUGUUUUGUAGAGACAGAGUUUCAGCACGUUGCACAGGCUGUUUUCAAACUCCUGGGCUCACGUGAUCCUCUCGCCUCGGCCUUCCAAAGUGCUGGAAUUGUAGGCGUGGACCAUGGCUCCUGGCCCAGGGUCGCUCCUUCCCCUAGAACCACCUCCUCCUUCUGGAGGGCAAGGUCAAGUUCAGCCCUUUUACAUCACAUCUAGUCACCCAUGCAGGCCUGCUCCGCUCACCCAGUCCGGUGUUCUAAGCCCCUUGGGCCAGAUUUGAAGCUUGGGUUUGGCUUGAGAACGACCAGCAUUCAUCUUCCCUGGCUGUCUUCUUAGCUUCUGCCCUGGGACCUUUUCACUUCAAAGUCUAGUUGCCAGCACCACCUGCCUCCAGGAA
This 1304-nucleotide long non-coding RNA is filed under the name Piliocolobus tephrosceles (Ugandan red Colobus). Its description in RNAcentral is "lncRNA (ENSPTEG00000032497.1)". The record is from RNAcentral. Lineage: Eukaryota; Metazoa; Chordata; Mammalia; Primates; Cercopithecidae.